GGUCAGCUGACACAUCCCUGCCAAUCUCCGGCAGACCCUCCCUCCCAGACCCUCCCACCUCCUGGACAGCAUCCAUGUUGAAGCUGCCUUCAACAUGGAUGCUGUCCAGGAAGUAGGAGGGUCUGGGAGGGAGGGUCUGCCGGAGAUUGGCAGGGAUGUGUCAGCUG
This 167-nucleotide microRNA precursor is filed under the name Pelobates cultripes (western spadefoot toad). The record is from RNAcentral. Lineage: Eukaryota; Metazoa; Chordata; Amphibia; Anura; Pelobatidae.